AUAUGGCCAACCGGGUCAAAGUGUAGCAUCUUUUUUCAUCAGCUUAAUAUCUGAUACGGGCAGUAUUUGGACCUGAGAUAUUUAAACUCAUACUUGCAAGUUGGUGGAGGGCUUUAAAGCAUGCUUAACUUCCGCCGGGGGUCUGCGCGGUAUUGCACUAUCUUCGGGAUCGAUCCACAUAGG
Dermacentor andersoni is the source of this 183-nucleotide small nuclear RNA. RefSeq annotates it as U2 spliceosomal RNA. Lineage: Eukaryota; Metazoa; Arthropoda; Arachnida; Ixodida; Ixodidae. The record is from RefSeq and is a predicted model, not a curated record.